AUUGAACGCUGGCGGCAUGCCUUACACAUGCAAGUCGAACGGCAGCACGGGAGCAAUCCUGGUGGCGAGUGGCGAACGGGUGAGUAAAGUAUCGGAACGUGCCCAGUCGUGGGGGAUAACGUAGCGAAAGUUACGCUAAUACCGCAUACGAUCUAUGGAUGAAAGCGGGGGAUCGCAAGACCUCGCGCGAUUGGAGCGGCCGAUAUCAGAUUAGGUAGUUGGUGGGGUAAAGGCUCACCAAGCCGACGAUCUGUAGCUGGUCUGAGAGGACGACCAGCAACACUGGGACUUAGACACGGCCCAGACUCCUACGGGAGGCAGCAGUGGGGAAUUUUGGACAAUGGGCGAAAGCCUGAUCCAGCCAUGCCGCGUGCAGGAUGAAGGCCUUCGGGUUGUAAACUGCUUUUGUACGGAACGAGAAGGUUUGGCCUAAUAAGCUGAGCUCAUGACGGUACCGUAAGAAUAAGCACCGGCUAACUACGUGCCAGCCGCCGCCGUAA
Molecule: ribosomal RNA, 500 nt
Filed under: uncultured bacterium
Lineage: Bacteria
Description: partial 16S ribosomal RNA
Rfam family: Bacterial small subunit ribosomal RNA
Source: RNAcentral